RNAcentral lists this RNase P RNA (417 nucleotides) under Dorea phocaeensis. RNAcentral describes it as "Bacterial RNase P class A". It matches the Rfam family "Bacterial RNase P class A". From Rfam's summary of the family: Ribonuclease P (RNase P) is a ubiquitous endoribonuclease, found in archaea, bacteria and eukarya as well as chloroplasts and mitochondria. Its best characterised activity is the generation of mature 5'-ends of tRNAs by cleaving the 5'-leader elements of precursor-tRNAs. The record is from RNAcentral. Lineage: Bacteria; Bacillati; Bacillota; Clostridia; Lachnospirales; Lachnospiraceae.
AAGACAGGUAAUCGCAGCUGCGUAUGCCGAAAGGCUGCAGGUGAGGAAAGUCCGGGCUUCACAGGGCAGGAUGCCGGAUAACGUCCGGUGGAGGCGACUCCAAGGCCAGUGCAACAGAGAUAUACCGCGUUUGCAAUGAGCCAUGCGCCAUACCCAUUUGGCGGCGUGUAAAGUUAUUUACAUACGAUGCCAAAUGGCGUGUGGCUCAUUGCAAACGUAAGGGUGGAAAGGCAGUGUAAGAGACUACCGCCCUGUUGGUAACAACAGGGGCACAUGUAAACCCCAUCCGAAGCAAGACCGGAAAAAGACAAUGUGGCGGCCCGUCACGUCUUAGGUAGGUUGCUGGAACCUGCCGGUAACGGCAGGUCUAGAUAGAUGAUUACCCAACGACAUAACCCGGCUUAUCGUCUUGCUUGU